This 754-nucleotide long non-coding RNA is filed under the name Rattus norvegicus (Norway rat). Its description in RNAcentral is "long non-coding RNA NONRATT027894". The record is from RNAcentral. Lineage: Eukaryota; Metazoa; Chordata; Mammalia; Rodentia; Muridae.
UCAAUAGAUAGCUACCUGUCCAAGUGUGGAGAGAAGUACAAUGACAUCGACCUGACCAUCGACACGGAGAUCUACGAGCAGCUCUUAGAGGAAGGUGAGCAGCGUACCCCACGCCUGCCUUGUUCAUAUGUGCACCUUUGUUCUUCAAAGCACUCUGAACUUUUUGCUGACUCCUGGUCUGGUUUCUGUUUUUAGUGUGAAGUCUCUAACUUUUCUUAUGAGGCUGCUUGUUCCUAAAGUUUCAAGUUCCAAAUCCUUGUGAGAUCUUCUUGACUUUUAGCAAAAGGAACUUGUUGGAGCUCUGUAUCUAGGUCCACACCAGUGCCCAGAAGGCAUUGUGUGAGGAGUGAGUAAACUCCGAGUCUUCCCCAGUGUCCAUAGGAUAAAACCCUGGGCAAGGUGAGAGCACUGAACCACCCAGCCAUUCCUAAGCUUCUAGACCCUUUCUUCAGUCUGUGGACUUAGAAAUCCUACAUGGUGCUUUGCCCUUUGCAGUUAGUCCCCUGCGGUCUGUCUUUGCAGGCAUCGAUCACCUUCUGGCACAGCACGUUGCUCAUCUCUUUAUUAGAGACCCACUGACCCUUUUUGAAGAGAAAAUUCAUCUGGAUGAUGCCAACGAGUCUGACCAUUUUGAGGUAUCUCCCAUUCGAAUGUAUUUCACUGCAUAAACUAAAGGAAGUUUGUUUCUGUGCCUGUGAGGAUUAGUGACAGGAAAAUGUCUUCCAUUACCUAGUACAAUACAGAGCUAAGAAAA